This 529-nucleotide long non-coding RNA is filed under the name Struthio camelus australis. RNAcentral describes it as "lncRNA (ENSSCUG00000014913.1)". Lineage: Eukaryota; Metazoa; Chordata; Aves; Struthioniformes; Struthionidae. The record is from RNAcentral.
UUGCGCACAGUAAGGACCAUGAAAGUUGCUGGUGGUGACCCCAUGAGUACAGUGAAAGCAGGGCUACCUGUCAGGAGUCCCAUUAGGCGCUGGCUGCCCCCCUCUCUUGCUCAACAGCCCUCCUGGGUUAGGAUACUGAAAACAGGUGACCUUCAUCCACUUUGACGGAACAUUUUGACCUGCCUUGUGUACCCAAGGUACCCAAGGCCUUAAUGAUUUGAACACUUAGACAGAGAAGACACCUAAGAUCAUGUUCCCCUCAAUGUCCUCCACAUACACUGUCUACACAACAUUUGUAAAGACUGGACGCCGGUAGGCACAAAUCUAAUGUCAAAUCUGGGAUAGCUAUGAAUCAAUUUAGAAUUUUGAAUAUAUUUGAGUAAUAAUGCCUAAAGAAAAGCCUAGACUGAUUGACGCUGGAUCUUCAAGAAUUUUCAUGCUGAGAGCUGUGCAGUUGGACACACUAAUUGAUGUCUUCCAUCUGAAAAUCUCAACAGAAAACUUGAAAUGGUGCACAGUUAAAUGCCAA